UACAGAGGUCCCAAGCGUUGUUCGGAUUCACUGGGCGUAAAGGGUGCGUAGGCGGUCGGGUAAGUCUGAUGUGAAAUCUCACAGCUUAACUGUGAAACUGCAUUGGAUACUAUCCGGCUAGAGGAAUGGAGGGGAGACUGGAAUACUUGGUGUAGCAGUGAAAUGCGUAGAUAUCAAGUGGAACACCAGUGGCGAAGGCGCGUCUCUGGACAUUUCCUGACGCUGAGGCACGAAAGCCAGGGGAGCAAACGGG
This 253-nucleotide ribosomal RNA is filed under the name uncultured bacterium. RNAcentral describes it as "partial 16S ribosomal RNA". It matches the Rfam family "Bacterial small subunit ribosomal RNA", at positions 524 to 776 of the family's 1533-position model. The record is from RNAcentral.